UACGUAGGGGGCAAGCGUUGUCCGGAUUUAUUGGGCGUAAAGAGCGUGUAGGCGGUUUGGUAGGUCCGCUGUGAAAACUCGAGGCUCAACCUCGAGACGCCGGUGGAAACCAUCAGACUAGAGUCCGGAAGAGGAGAGUGGAAUUCCCAGUGUAGAGGUGAAAUUCGUAGAUAUUGGGAAGAACACCGGUGGCGAAGGCGGCGACCUGGUCCUUGACUGACGCUGAGGCGCGAAAGCGUGGGGAGCAAACAGG
Molecule: ribosomal RNA, 253 nt
Filed under: uncultured bacterium
Lineage: Bacteria
Description: partial 16S ribosomal RNA
Rfam family: Bacterial small subunit ribosomal RNA
Source: RNAcentral